Molecule: ribosomal RNA, 503 nt
Filed under: uncultured bacterium
Lineage: Bacteria
Description: bacterial SSU rRNA
Rfam family: Bacterial small subunit ribosomal RNA
Source: RNAcentral
ACUCAAAUGAAUAGACGGGGGCCCGCACAAGCGGUGGAGCAUGUGGUUUAAUUCGACGCAACGCGAAGAACCUUACCAGGGUUUGACAUCCCCUGACCGCGCAUGAAAGUGCGUUUUCUAGCUUCGGUUAGACAGGGAGACAGGUGGUGCAUGGUUGUCGUCAGCUCGUGUCGUGAGAUGUUGGGUUAAGUCCCGCAACGAGCGCAACCCCUACGUUUAGUUGCUAACAGGUGAAGCUGAGCACUCUAGAGGAACUGCCGUUGACAAAACGGAGGAAGGUGGGGAUGACGUCAAAUCAUCAUGCCCCUUAUGUCCUGGGCUACACACGUGCUACAAUGGCCGGUACAAAGGGCAGCGAAGUCGCGAGGCGGAGCUAAUCCCAAAAAGCCGGUCCCAGUUCGGAUUGCAGGCUGCAAUUCGCCUGCAUGAAGUCGGAAUCGCUAGUAAUCGCAGGUCAGCAUACUGCGGUGAAUACGUUCCCGGGCCUUGUACACACCGCCCGU